AUGUCUUUUUCUCUGGUUCACUGAACGUGUGAUUACAGGCAAGGUGAGACUGAUAAGCAUCGGUUUCUACACUGUAUGUUGAGUGUUAUUAUAAGCACCCAGACCACUUCACCUCACUGCAGUGUCCCUGGCAAUGCUUUCCUAUUGGGGAAGUCCUAAUGUGAUCGCCGCGCAUGUGCAUUAAAUUCCUCUCCGGGGAACAUCGGCGCUGAAAUAAGGUAGGUGACAG
Pelobates cultripes (western spadefoot toad) is the source of this 229-nucleotide non-coding RNA. The record is from the annotation of a GenBank genome assembly. NCBI's taxonomy places the organism in Eukaryota, Metazoa, Chordata, Amphibia, Anura, Pelobatidae.